AUGCGACCGCCGCCCGCGGUGAUGACGGCCUCCUCGUCGGAGAAGAAGGCGGCGAAGCGGAGCGGACCACCGAGGCCCCGAGGGAGGAAGUCGCAGCUCGCCCUCCUCGGGGGGGUGCUCACCUGGAAAUGCAUUUGCUCCACAUAUACUGCUUAUCAAUCGGGGAGAGUGAAGUGCAGUCUGUACGGGAUCUUCCGUUCAUCGUGUUUUAUGCACUGGGAUAUUACCUCCAAGAUUAUGCUGUUAUCAGAGCUGCACUCCAAAUCCAUCUGCAUUCUAUCAGCCAAUGGCCCAUUAUCAGCUAUAACUCUCCGUCUAUCUUCACAUUCAGGUGGCCUUGACAAUGCAGUUUACCAGGGUCAGUUUGAGAUAAUUUCACUAAAAGGCUCUUAUCUGCUGUCUGAUGAGGGUGGCUCAGGAAACAGCAGUGGGGGUUUAAGCAUUAUGGUUUCUACUCCUUGCGGCAGCUUGUUUGGAGGUAGCGUUGGAGGGCCGCUGAUCGCUGCUGACCCUGUGCAGGUAAUUGCUGGAAGCUUCAAUUACACGGUGACAGAGGAAAAGAAGGAGCCAAAGACCAGUGACAGCCAACUUAAUGAGCUGAAAGUACCUUGGGAGCUGGAUGCAAUGCCUUAUGAACCAUUUUCACCUUUGCCUCUGUUUGGGUGGUCCAGGAUUGAAGAUGUCAAACUUGAUCGCCACGACUUCGACCUGACCAAUGGUUAG
RNAcentral lists this ribosomal RNA (723 nucleotides) under Triticum aestivum (bread wheat). Its description in RNAcentral is "partial small subunit ribosomal RNA". Lineage: Eukaryota; Viridiplantae; Streptophyta; Magnoliopsida; Poales; Poaceae. The record is from RNAcentral.